AGAUGGAGUUGUCUGUGGAUUAUGUACGUAUUGUCAGAGACAUUCAUGCAAAAUAAUGGGUUUGGUGGUGACAGGGUUACAGCCACAACAAGAAAGUGAGAUACAGUUAGUGGAAUUCUCAAGUGCUCUCUUAGGAUGAAUAAACCUUAAGAAAGAACACCCUGCUUUUGUAACAGAUGAAGAAAGGCUAUGGAAGAGACAGAUUCUGGAGGAUGCAGCAUUCAAGGUUCUAUCUUGGAAGCAGAGACUGUGCCCUCACCAGAUGCUGAACCUGCUGAGCACCCUGAUCUUCCACUUCACCUUCAUCAGAACUGGUGCUAAGAAUUCUGAAUUUAUUGAGGAAAUAAAUGUCUGAUUGCAACAAAAGAAAACUUGUCUGGCUUUGGGAAGGAAGAGGCUUAGGAAAAAAAUUAAAGGCGUCUUUACUAGAAGUUCAAGACUGGGGCUGUGGCUGAGAUGUCACAUGGCAGAUAGGAUCACAAAUUUCUGUUGUAUCUGGAUGGAGAUCAGCAGGAGGAUCUAUGGGUGAGAAGAAGCACAGUUACAGAUGGAUUCUAGAGCCUGCUUGCUGACACAGGCUUGCAACUGCGGACUUUAUAAGCUUAGUUUUUAAUCUGCUAUCAGCUAGCAUAAUACCAUAAAUGCAUAAGAAACUAAGUAUUCAGUCUUACGAGAAAUGCUAUCUUGACCUGACCCUUUCUCCAAAUAAAUUGACAAAAUAUCUCAUCGUCUAGGAUGCCAGACAGAAAUACCAGUUGCAAUGUUUUGUUGCAUAAAGUUUAUCCUAAUUUAAAUUAGUGGCAUAUAAAGUCAUCAUCUUGCUUGAACAAACAUCUUAUUAAAUUGAGCAUGUCUUUUAUCCCAUGAAAUGAAAUUAAUUUUGAGAUAGUUAUUUUUCAGUUGGAAAUUUAUUGAGUUGAUAGAAAACAAGUUAUAUAGUCUUCCAAAGAAUAUGUUACAUCCAUUUGCAUUUUGUUUUUCUUCAGCAAUGUUUGGUUUUUAGAAAAUCUUACAAGUUAAAUAUACUAAUGUAGAAAUUGAAAGAAAAUAAUCAGAGAUAGAGCAAUAAAUUUGCAAAUAAAGAUUAUUCUUAAAACAAA
Molecule: long non-coding RNA, 1100 nt
Filed under: Homo sapiens (human)
Lineage: Eukaryota; Metazoa; Chordata; Mammalia; Primates; Hominidae
Description: long intergenic non-protein coding RNA 882
Source: RNAcentral